Molecule: ribosomal RNA, 540 nt
Filed under: fungal sp. Griff. DX-FIL8
Lineage: Eukaryota; Fungi
Description: eukaryotic LSU rRNA
Rfam family: 5.8S ribosomal RNA (bases 170-323)
Source: RNAcentral
UCCGUAGGUGAACCUGCGGAAGGAUCAUUACCUAGAGUUGUAGGCUUUGCCUGCUAUCUCUUACCCAUGUCUUUUGAGUACCUUCGUUUCCUCGGCGGGUCCGCCCGCCGAUUGGACAAUUUAAACCAUUUGCAGUUGCAAUCAGCGUCUGAAAAAACUUAAUAGUUACAACUUUCAACAACGGAUCUCUUGGUUCUGGCAUCGAUGAAGAACGCAGCGAAAUGCGAUAAGUAGUGUGAAUUGCAGAAUUCAGUGAAUCAUCGAAUCUUUGAACGCACAUUGCGCCCCUUGGUAUUCCAUGGGGCAUGCCUGUUCGAGCGUCAUUUGUACCUUCAAGCUCUGCUUGGUGUUGGGUGUUUGUCUCGCCUCUGCGUGUAGACUCGCCUCAAAACAAUUGGCAGCCGGCGUAUUGAUUUCGGAGCGCAGUACAUCUCGCGCUUUGCACUCAGAACGACGACGUCCAAAAGUACAUUUUUACACUCUUGACCUCGGAUCAGGUAGGGAUACCCGCUGAACUUAAGCAUAUCAAUAAGCGGAGGA